This 334-nucleotide ribosomal RNA is filed under the name fungal sp. RNAcentral describes it as "SSU rRNA". It matches the Rfam family "Eukaryotic small subunit ribosomal RNA", at positions 1368 to 1700 of the family's 1831-position model. The record is from RNAcentral. Lineage: Eukaryota; Fungi.
AACCAACAUGCGAAGCAAUCCAUGCGCAUCGAUCAUCACUUACUCAGAGGGACUGACUACGUCUAUUCUACCGGAUGUUUUGGCAAAUAACAGGUCUGUGAUGCCCUUAAAUGUUCUGGGCUGCACGCUCGCUACACUGACAGAGGCAGCGAGUAUACAACCUUGACCGGAAGGUCUGGGCAAUCUUAUGAAACUCUGUCGUGCUGGGGAUAGAGCAUUGCAAUUAUUGCUCUUCAACGAGGAAUUCCUAGUAAGCGCAUGUCAUCAGCAUGCGUUGAUUACGUCCCUGCCCUUUGUACACACCGCCCGUCGCUACUACCAUUGGAAUGGCUAG